RNAcentral lists this ribosomal RNA (581 nucleotides) under uncultured bacterium. Its description in RNAcentral is "bacterial SSU rRNA". It matches the Rfam family "Bacterial small subunit ribosomal RNA", at positions 344 to 916 of the family's 1533-position model. The record is from RNAcentral.
GGAGGCAGCAGUGGGGAAUAUUGCGCAAGGGCGAAAGCCUGACGCAGCAACGCCGCGUGGGGGAUGAAGGUUCUCGGAUUGUAAACCCCUUUCGAUCGGAACGAAUCUCCUCCUGGUAAAUAAUCAGGAGGAUCGACGGUACCGGGAGAAGAAGCCACGGCUAACUCUGUGCCAGCAGCCGCGGUAAGACAGAGGUGGCGAGCGUUGUUCGGAUUUAUUGGGCGUAAAGCGAACGCAGGUGGUUUGGUAAGUCAGAGGUGAAAGACCACAGCUUAACUGUGGCACUGCCUUUGAUACUGCCUUUCUAGAGUGCAUGAGGGGGAAGCGGAAUUCCGAGUGUAGAGGUGAAAUUCGUAGAUAUUCGGAGGAACACCGGUGGCGAAGGCGGCUUCCUGGCAUGUAACUGACACUCAUGUUCGAAAGCGUGGGUAGCAAACAGGAUUAGAUACCCUGGUAGUCCACGCCCUAAACGAUGGGCACUAGGUGUGGGAGGUAUCGACCCCUUCCGUGCCGCAGCUAACGCAUUAAGUGCCCCGCCUGGGGAGUACGGCCGCAAGGUUGAAACUUAAAGGAAUUGACGG